RNAcentral lists this long non-coding RNA (228 nucleotides) under Elaeis guineensis (African oil palm). RNAcentral's name for it is "long non-coding RNA (EGUI_LNC026343)". The record is from RNAcentral. Lineage: Eukaryota; Viridiplantae; Streptophyta; Magnoliopsida; Arecales; Arecaceae.
UCAUUGAUCAGCCGAUCAAGGUUGUUCUCCACCGUCUGGAUAUAUCGAGAUAGAUUGCGAAGUGGGCUCUGAAAUUCUUGGAGUUGGAUGUGCAGUACCGCCCAAAGCCUUCCAUUAAAGCCCAAGUGUUGGCGGACUUUGUCCUUGAAUGCACCAUCUCGAAAGGAGAAAACUUCAAAAGUGGAGAAAGCUUAAGAAGUGAAAAAGUAAAUGCGAGACCUGACCCUG